Molecule: ribosomal RNA, 914 nt
Filed under: Lachnellula willkommii
Lineage: Eukaryota; Fungi; Ascomycota; Leotiomycetes; Helotiales; Lachnaceae
Description: partial large subunit ribosomal RNA
Rfam family: Eukaryotic large subunit ribosomal RNA
Source: RNAcentral
GCAUAUCAAUAAGCGGAGGAAAAGAAACCAACAGGGAUUACCUCAGUAACGGCGAGUGAAGCGGUAACAGCUCAAAUUUGAAAUCUGGCUCUUUUAGGGUCCGAGUUGUAAUUUGUAGAAGAUGCUUUGGGCGUGGCUCCGGUCUAAGUUCCUUGGAACAGGACGUCAUAGAGGGUGAGAAUCCCGUAUGUGACUGGUAGCUUUCGCCCGUGUAAAGCUCUUUCGACGAGUCGAGUUGUUUGGGAAUGCAGCUCAAAAUGGGUGGUAAAUUUCAUCUAAAGCUAAAUAUUGGCCAGAGACCGAUAGCGCACAAGUAGAGUGAUCGAAAGAUGAAAAGCACUUUGGAAAGAGAGUUAAACAGUACGUGAAAUUGUUGAAAGGGAAGCGCUUGCAACCAGACUCGCAGGCCGUCGAUCAUCCAGGGUUCUCCCCGGUGCACUCGGCGGUUUUCGGGCCAGCAUCGGUUUGGGUGGUGGGAUAAAGGCCUUGGGAAUGUAGCUUCUUUCGGGGAGUGUUAUAGCCCUCGGUGCAAUGCCGCCUACCCGGACCGAGGACCGCGCUUCGGCUAGGAUGCUGGCGUAAUGGUUGUAAGCGACCCGUCUUGAAACACGGACCAAGGAGUCUAACAUCUAUGCGAGUAUUUGGGUGUUAAACCCAUAUGCGUAAUGAAAGUGAACGGAGGUGAGAACCCUUAAGGGUGCAUCAUCGACCGAUCCUGAUGUCUUCGGAUGGAUUUGAGUAAGAGCAUAGCUGUUGGGACCCGAAAGAUGGUGAACUAUGCCUAAAUAGGGUGAAGCCAGAGGAAACUCUGGUGGAGGCUCGCAGCGGUUCUGACGUGCAAAUCGAUCGUCAAAUUUGGGUAUAGGGGGCGAAAGACUAAUCGAACCAUCUAGUAGCUGGUUCCUGCCGAAGUU